GACGAACGCUGGCGGCGUGCUUAACACAUGCAAGUCGAACGGAAAGGCCCUGCUUUUGUGGGGUGCUCGAGUGGCGCACGGGUGAGUAACACGUGAGUAACCUGCUCUUGACUUUGGUAUAACUUCAGGACACUGGGGCUAAUACCGGAUAGGAGCUCCUGCUGCAUGGUGGGGGUUGGAAAUUUUCGUGGGUUGGGGACGGACUCGCGGCUUAUCAGCUGGUUGGUGGGGUAGUGGCUUACCAAGGCUUUGACGGGUAGCCGGCCUGAGAGGGGGACCGGCCACAUGGGGACUGGGAUAGGGCCCAGACUCCUCCGGGGGGCGGCGGUGGGGAAGAUGGCACAAUGGGCGGAAGCUGGAUGCAGCAACGCCGGGUGCGGGAUGACGGCUUUCGGGUUGAAACCCGCUUUGGCCUGUAACGAAGCGUGUGUGACGGUAAUGGGUAAAGAAGCACCGGCUAACUACGUG
Molecule: ribosomal RNA, 468 nt
Filed under: uncultured bacterium
Lineage: Bacteria
Description: partial 16S ribosomal RNA
Rfam family: Bacterial small subunit ribosomal RNA
Source: RNAcentral